CAGUCGCCGCGGUAAUACGAAGGGGGCUAGCGUUGCUCGGAAUUACUGGGCGUAAAGGGCGCGUAGGCGGCGCUCCAAGUUAGGCGUGAAAUUCCCGGGCUCAACCUGGGGACUGCGCUUAAGACUGGAGUGCUUGAGGAUGGAAGAGGGUUGUGGAAUUCCCAGUGUAGAGGUGAAAUUCGUAGAUAUUGGGAAGAACACCGGUGGCGAAGGCGGCAACCUGGUCCAUUACUGACGCUGAGGCGCGAUAGCGUGGGGAGCAAACAGGAUUAGAUACCCCUGUAGUCCCUGUCUCUUAUAC
This 301-nucleotide ribosomal RNA is filed under the name uncultured bacterium. RNAcentral's name for it is "partial 16S ribosomal RNA". It matches the Rfam family "Bacterial small subunit ribosomal RNA", at positions 509 to 807 of the family's 1533-position model. The record is from RNAcentral.